RNAcentral lists this ribosomal RNA (435 nucleotides) under uncultured bacterium. Its description in RNAcentral is "partial 16S ribosomal RNA". It matches the Rfam family "Bacterial small subunit ribosomal RNA", at positions 28 to 507 of the family's 1533-position model. The record is from RNAcentral.
GAUGAACGCUGGCGGUAUGCUUAACACAUGCAAGUCGAACGGACUCUUCGGAGUUAGUGGCCGACGGGUGAGUAACGCGUGAGAAUCUGGCUUUGGGUUCGGGACAACCACUGGAAACGGUGGCUAAUACCGGAUGUGCCGAGAGGUAAAAGAGAAAUUGCCUGAAGAUGAGCUCGCGUCUGAUUAGCUAGUUGGUGAGGUAAAGGCUCACCAAGGCAGCGAUCAGUAGCUGGUCUGAGAGGAUGACCAGCCACACUGGGACUGAGACACGGCCCAGACUCCUACGGGAGGCAGCAGUGGGGAAUUGUCCGCAAUGGGCGAAAGCCUGACGGAGCAAUACCGCGUGAGGGAAGAAGGCUCUUGGGUUGUAAACCUCUUUUCUUAGGGAAGAACAAAAUGACGGUACCUAAGGAAUCAGCAUCGGCUAACUCCGUG